Molecule: transfer RNA, 84 nt
Filed under: Candidatus Woesearchaeota archaeon
Lineage: Archaea; Nanobdellati; Candidatus Woesearchaeota
Description: tRNA-Ser
Rfam family: tRNA
About the family: Transfer RNA (tRNA) molecules are approximately 80 nucleotides in length. Their secondary structure includes four short double-helical elements and three loops (D, anti-codon, and T loops). Further hydrogen bonds mediate the characteristic L-shaped molecular structure. tRNAs have two regions of fundamental functional importance: the anti-codon, which is responsible for specific mRNA codon recognition, and the 3' end, to which the tRNAs corresponding amino acid is attached (by aminoacyl-tRNA synthetases). tRNAs cope with the degeneracy of the genetic code in two manners: having more than one tRNA (with a specific anti-codon) for a particular amino acid; and 'wobble' base-pairing, i.e. permitting non-standard base-pairing at the 3rd anti-codon position.
Source: RNAcentral
GCCAACGUCGCAUAACCUGGUAUUGCGCAAGCCUGGAAAGCUUGUUUCCUCACGGAUAUCCCGGUUCAAAUCCGGGCGUUGGCG